GUUUUUAUAGUUUAAAUAAAAACACUGGUCUUGUAAACCAAAAUUAAGAGUUAUCUUUAAAAACU
Molecule: transfer RNA, 65 nt
Filed under: Adhemarius sexoculata
Lineage: Eukaryota; Metazoa; Arthropoda; Insecta; Lepidoptera; Sphingidae
Description: tRNA-Thr
Rfam family: tRNA
About the family: Transfer RNA (tRNA) molecules are approximately 80 nucleotides in length. Their secondary structure includes four short double-helical elements and three loops (D, anti-codon, and T loops).
Source: RNAcentral